GACGAGGGAUCCUAGCGUUGUUCGGAUUUACUGGGCGUAAAGAGCGCGUAGGCGGCCUAUUAAGUGUGAAGUGAAAUCUCCAGGGCUCAACCCGGAAACUGCUUCGCAUACUGAUAGACUUGAGGAAUGCAGAGGUUUGUGGAAUUCCUGGUGUAACGGUGAAAUGUGUUGAUAUCAGGAGGAACACCCAUGGCGAAGGCAGCAAACUGGGCAUUAUCUGACGCUGAGGCGCGAAAGCGUGGGUAGCAAACAGGAUUAGAAACCCGUGUAGU
RNAcentral lists this ribosomal RNA (272 nucleotides) under uncultured bacterium. Its description in RNAcentral is "partial 16S ribosomal RNA". It matches the Rfam family "Bacterial small subunit ribosomal RNA", at positions 524 to 794 of the family's 1533-position model. The record is from RNAcentral.